GUGACUGAUCGCGCUACCAUGCAGUCGGAGGUAGCACAGAGGAGCUUGCUCCUCGGGUGACGAGUGGCGGACGGGUGAGUAAUGUCUGGGGAUCUGCCCGAUAGAGGGGGAUAACCACUGGAAACGGUGGCUAAUACCGCAUAAUGUCGCAAGACCAAAGAGGGGGACCUUCGGGCCUCUCACUAUCGGAUGAACCCAGAUGGGAUUAGCUAGUAGGCGGGGUAACGGCCCACCUAGGCGACGAUCCCUAGCUGGUCUGAGAGGAUGACCAGCCACACUGGAACUGAGACACGGUCCAGACUCCUACGGGAGGCAGCAGUGGGGAAUAUUGCACAGUGGGCGCAAGCCUGAUGCACCCAUGCCGCGUGUAUGAAGAAGGCCUUCGGGUUGUAAAGUACUUUCAGCGGGGAGGAAGGCAGUGAGGUUAAUAACCUUACUGAUUGACGUUACCCGCAAAAGAAGCACCGGCUAACUCCGUGCCAGCAGCCGCGGUAAUACGGAGGGUGCAAGCGUUAAUCGGAAUUACUGGGCGUAAAGCGCACGCAGGCGGUCUGUUAAGUCAGAUGUGAAAUCCCCGGGCUUAACCUGGGAACUGCAUUUGAAACUGGCAGGCUUGAGUCUCGUAGAGGGGGGUAGAAUUCCGUGUGUAGCGGUGAAAUGCGUAGAGAUCUGGAAGAAUACCGGUGGCGAACGGGCCCCCUGGACGAACACUGACGCUCAUGUGCGAAAGCGUGGGAGCAAACGAGAUUAUAUACCCUGGUAGUCCACGCCAUACACGAUGUCCACUUGGAUGUUGUUCCCUUGAAGAGUGUCUUCCAGAGCUAACGCGUUAAGUCCACCGCCUGGAGAGUACCGCCGCAGGUUAAAACUCAAAUGAAUUGACGGGGGCCCGCACAAGCGGUGGAGCAUG
Molecule: ribosomal RNA, 910 nt
Filed under: uncultured prokaryote
Description: bacterial SSU rRNA
Rfam family: Bacterial small subunit ribosomal RNA
Source: RNAcentral